AAGCGUUAUCCGGAUUCAUUGGGUUUAAAGGGUGCGUAGGCGGGAAAGUAAGUCAGUGGUGAAAGCCUGCAGCUCAACUGUGGAACAGCCAUUGAUACUGCUUUUCUUGAGUUUGGUUGAGGUAGGCGGAAUGUGUAAUGUAGCGGUGAAAUGCUUAGAUAUUACACAGAACACCGAUUGCGAAGGCAGCUUACUAAACCGAUACUGACGCUGAUGCACGAAAGCGUGGGGAGCGAACAGGAUUAGAUACCCUGGUAGUCCACGCUGUAAACUAUGAUCACUCGCUGUUGGCAAUACAUCGUCAGCGGCUGAGCGAAAGCAUUAAGUGAUCCACCUGGGGAGUACGGUCGCAAGAUUGAAACUCAAAGGAAUUGACGGGGGCCCGCACAAGCGGUGGAACAUGUGGUUUAAUUCGAUGAUACGCGAGGAACCUUACCUGGGCUUAAAUGUAGACUGCAUUUCCGGGAAACCGGAAUUUCCUUCGGGACCGUCUACAAGGUGCUGCAUGGUUGUCGUCAGCUCGUGCCGUGAGGUGUCGGGUUAAGUCCCAUAACGAGCGCAACCCCUAUCGUUAGUUGCCAGCGAGUAAUGUCGGGGACUCUAGCGAAACUGCCGGUGUAAACCGAGAGGAAGGUGGGGAUGACGUCAAAUCAGCACGGCCCUUAUGUCCAGGGCUACACACGUGUUACGAUGGUCAGUACAAAGGGCAGCUACCUGGUGACAGGAUGCUAAUCUCGAAAACUGGUCUCAGUUCGGAUUGGAGUCUGCAAUUCGACUCCAUGAAGCUGGAAUCGCUAGUAAUCGCGCAUCAGCAACGGCGCGGUGAUACGUUCCCGGGCCUCGUACACACCGCCCGUCAAGCCAUGGAAGCUGGGGGUGCCUGAAGUCCGUAACCGAAAGGAUCGGC
Molecule: ribosomal RNA, 907 nt
Filed under: uncultured organism
Description: bacterial SSU rRNA
Rfam family: Bacterial small subunit ribosomal RNA
Source: RNAcentral